UGAGGAAUAUUGGUCAAUGGGCGGGGAGCCUGAACCAGCCAAGCCGCGUGAGGGAAUAAGGCGCCAAGCGUCGUAAACCUCUUUUGUCAGGGAACAAAAGCGGGCACGCGUGCCCGUCCGAGUGUACCUGAAGAAAAAGCAUCGGCUAACUCCGUGCC
Molecule: ribosomal RNA, 158 nt
Filed under: uncultured bacterium
Lineage: Bacteria
Description: partial 16S ribosomal RNA
Rfam family: Bacterial small subunit ribosomal RNA
Source: RNAcentral